Molecule: long non-coding RNA, 538 nt
Filed under: Vombatus ursinus (common wombat)
Lineage: Eukaryota; Metazoa; Chordata; Mammalia; Diprotodontia; Vombatidae
Description: lncRNA (ENSVURG00010014311.1)
Source: RNAcentral
GUCAAUUUCUGUGCUCUGCAUGUGUCCUGGUCAUGCAUGUUCCCUGUGGCUACUUUCUAGCAUAUGAAGAUAUCUGUGUGGUUCCUGUGUGGCCCACACAUAAAUCCUUCCCGCUGAGUGUGUAUGGAUCAAUGGGAGAAUGAACUCAAGGUUUAUGGGGAAGAAAAUCAGUAAAAUGAAUUGGUGAGGACCCAAGAAUUACGGUUCAGAGAGGAUUCUGACCUAAAACUUGUCAAAGGGCUCAAAGAUUUUUUUGGUCUUCUAUGAAAUUUAAAGGGAAAGAAUAAAAAGAGAACUCAGUAAUGGUCUAUGGAGGAAAGGUACAAGAUCUAUAGGAUGACUUUCCUAGAUGAGAAGAGUGCUGGAGCAAGUCCCAUGCCAAUAUUCCUGAAGAGACCCCAGCUUUUUGGUUGCCCCACUUUAGGUCCAGUUUUCUUCCUCACUCUCCUGGUUGUGGAACAUGUUGGAAGCUCACAUCCCAUUCGUGAGGGCCUGCAGCUGUAAGGGUUCCUGCUCCAAAGGGAGCAAGAUCUACCUG